This 25-nucleotide non-coding RNA is filed under the name Cricetulus griseus (Chinese hamster). Lineage: Eukaryota; Metazoa; Chordata; Mammalia; Rodentia; Cricetidae. The record is from RNAcentral.
AUGUUUACUGGGGUAGAUGCAGACA